This 1769-nucleotide unclassified non-coding RNA is filed under the name Polistes fuscatus (common paper wasp). Its description in RNAcentral is "myeloid zinc finger 1-like, transcript variant X6". Lineage: Eukaryota; Metazoa; Arthropoda; Insecta; Hymenoptera; Vespidae. The record is from RNAcentral.
GCAUGGAAAGCAAUUUUGCCCAAUCAUAAAUAGGGCUAUUGUGGGGGGAUGGUGUAUGCCGCUGGCGCAUUUCAUACAUCCGAGUGUAAUGGUAACGAGAUAGAGGCGUCGCGCGGGGAUAUCGGCCGGUUAGCACCAUGGAAUAUGGGAUUUGGAGUCUUCACGUUGCGGGUGAACUUUGGGGAGACCCGCGCCUCGCCCGUAGACAUCCAAUCUUACCCCCAAAUGCGACACAAAUACUUCCGAGGGCUGCUUUAGCCCUAAGUGCCCUACAUCAGCCAACAAAUAUGGUACCUUUACCGUUAACAUUAUCUGGGCCACCCUAUGGCCCAAUGGAAUUGGUUACGAAAUCUUCCGGCAGUACUAACGAUUUAGAAUCGGUCAAAGAUGAAAAUAACGAUACUUUUCGUCGCGAAGAUAAUGACGAUGGCGAUGAUAACGAAGGCAACGAAAAAAACAUCGAAAAGCCCGACGAAAAUGAAAAUCAAACUUCCGAACAAAUCGAGAAUAACGAGAACGAAGAUGAAGAGGAAAGCGAUAGCGGAAGUACCGGAAGUUCGCAUAAGUCGGCUAACAACAAUUUUGCUACGAAAUUGUUAGAUCCUAUAUCCUGUUUAGGUCUCGAUAAGGAAGGGGCAGUGUCGCCAGUAUUAAAUGGUUGGGUAUUAGGCGCUUAUACAGCAAUGUUAGGAAGAUUAUCAGCAGCUACUGCAGCUUUAGAAGCUACGCAAAUUCCUAAUAUGCCUUCUGAUAGUGAUUCCGAGAGUGAGCACUCUUCUUACACGGAAAGGUCAAGAGGUAGUAGUCCAAAUGCAAAUAACAUUCAUCGAGGAUAUUCAUGUGGUUCUUGCGACGUAGUAGCACCAACGCGACCAGCUUUAAGAAAGCACAUAGCGGAUUGUCACCCAACAUUAAAUGGUACAGAAACAAGGGAAUCCAGGACUUGUCCCGCCUCUGGCUGCGAUUUUACAACGAAUAGUAGAUGCGACAUGGAGACACAUGUAGCAGCACACGUGGCACAAGGAAUGACACCUACUGGAAAGAAACGUACGCUGGCCUUGCAACGCGUCAGGUAUAGAUACGAAAGGGAGGAAUAUCGAUGCUCUCUAUGUUCCUAUGCCUGUACGAUCGAGAAAGCUUUCCAAAGGCAUUUGAGAGCACACGCGAGAGGUACAGCACCAGAAACAAGAGUUAGUUGUGCAGUAUGCGGUGCCGAUAGAUCAUCUGAAGUUGAUCUUAGUAGACACAUGAGAAGGCAUCGAGACGAUCGUUACUUUUGUUGCGAUAUCUGUAUCUUCCGCACGGUUCAAUUGAAAAAGUUGAUUCAACACCGUCGUAUGCACACCGGUGAGAAACCACAUCUUUGUCCGCAUUGUGCAUAUAGAAGUGCACGACGUGAUAAUCUACGGAGUCACGUUAGGCGAGUUCAUAAGAAAGAAAAUUUAUAUUGCGAUACGUUCAGUCCACGUGGCAUGUUGAUAACGCCAACUAUGAACGAUAAAGAUGAUUCGAUCGUCGUACAAAGCCCCGCGUCUUCGCCGUCCUCUAAUCCUGAGUCGACGAAUUAGUGCUAACGAAGAAAUUAGUGCAAGGAUGAAUGACUUAGCCUCUUAACGACUUUCGGUCAGAGCUACUAUUAAAUGUAGCAUGGUAGGAAGAUCUUGAAAGUGAAUGGCUGUGAAAUGAAGAACAAGAGGCUAAAUGUAAAACUUUGAAUGAGAUUGUUUAUCUCUAUAAGAUGAAUUAUUAAAAUCAAGAUUUCUACGUAA